AGGGCUAGCCUGAGGUAGUAAGUAUAGGCGGUAGAGCACUGAUCGGGCUAGGGGCCGUAAAGGUUACCGAACCCUGUCAAACUCCGAAUGGAUAUACUGUAGAGCCUUGGAGUCAGACUACGAGUGAUAAGAUCCGUGGUCAAAAGGGAAACAGCCCAGACCACCAGCUAAGGUCCCCAAUGUCGUACUAAGUGGAAAAGGAUGUGGGGUUUCAUAAACAACCAGGAUGUUGGCUCAGAAGCAGCCACCAUUUAAAGAGUGCGUAAUAGCUCACUGGUCGAGAGACGCUGCGCCGAAAAUGUCCGGGGCUCAAGCACGGAACCGAAGCUAUGGCAUUGCUUAGGCAAUGGGUAGGGGAGCGUUCUUACCAGGGUGAAGCAGUACCGUAAGGAGCUGUGGACAGGUAAGAAGUGAGAAUGCUGGCAUGAGUAUCGAAAAGAAAGGUGAGAAUCCUUUCCACCGAAAGCCCGAGGGUUCCUGAGCAACGAUCGUCGUCUCAGGGUAAGUCGGGACCUAAGCCGAGGCGGAGAAGCGUAGGCGAUGGACAACAGGUUGAAAUUCCUGUACUGCUUUAUGUCGUUUGAGUGAUGGAGUGACGCAGGAGGGCACAUGAUCGCGCGAUUGGAAGAGCGCGUCCAAGCAUGUAGUUUGAAUAUGAGUAAAAUGCCAUAUUCUGAAAGACGAGAUGUGACGGGGAAUUAGAGGAAACUCUGAGGAACUCAUGGAUCCCACACUGCCGAGAAAAGCUUCUAGCGAGACAUAAGGCACCCGUACCGUAAACCGACACAGGUAGGCGGGGAGAGAAUCCUAAGGUGCGCGGGAAAACCCUCGUUAAGGAACUCGGCAAAUUGCAUCCGUAACUUCGGGAAAAGGAUGACCCUGAGUAGGCGAAGGACAGAAACGUCCGGAACCGGAAAGGGUGGCAGAAAAGAGGCCCAAGCAACUGUUUACCAAAAACACAGGUGCCUGCGAAAGCGAAAGCUGAAGUAUAGGUGCUGACGCCUGCCCGGUGCUGGAAGGUUAAGGAGAGAUGUCAGCGAAAGCGAAGCAUUGAACUGAAGCCCCAGUGAACGGCGGCCGUAACUAUAACGGUCCUAAGGUAGCGAAAUUCCUUGUCGGGCAAGUUCCGACCCGCAUGAAAGGCGUAAUGAUUUGGGCACUGUCUCAACGAGGGGCCCGGUGAAAUUGAAAUACCUGUGAAGAUGCAGGUUACCCGCGACUGGACAGAAAGACCCCAUGGAGCUUUACUGCAGCUUGAGACGGAAUUCCGGUGAUAGAUGCACAGGAUAGGUGGGAGGCUUAGAGUACCGGACUUUGGUCUGGUAGGAGCCGCUGUUGGGAUACCACCCUUCUGUUGCUGGAAUUCUAACGCGAAGAGUAACGACCUUGCGGACAAUCUCAGGCAGGCGGUUUGACUGGGGCGGUCGCCUCCGAAAGAGUAACGGAGGCGCCCAAAGGUUCCCUCAGAUCGGACAGAAACCGAUCGCAGAGUGCAAAGGCAGAAGGGAGCUUGACUGCGAGACAGACAAGUCGAGCAGAGACGAAAGUCGGGCUUAGUGAUCCGGUGGUACUGUGUGGAAAGGCCAUCGCUCAACGGAUAAAAGCUACCCUGGGGAUAACAGGCUAAUCUCUCCCAAGAGUUCAUAUCGACGGGGAGGUUUGGCACCUCGAUGUCGGCUCAUCACAUCCUGGGGCUGGAGUAGGUUCCAAGGGUUGGGCUGUUCGCCCAUUAAAGUGGUACGCGAGCUGGGUUCAAAACGUCGUGAGACAGUUUGGUUCAUAUCCAUCGCGGGCGCAAGAAGUUUGAAGGGGGCUGCUCCUAGUACGAGAGGACCGGAGUGGACGGAUCAACGGUGUACCAGUUGUCUCGCCAGAGGCACGGCUGGAAAGCUGCAUCCGGAAAGGAUAAACGCUGAAAGCAUCUAAGCGUGAAACCUGCCCUGAGAUGAGACUUCU
RNAcentral lists this ribosomal RNA (1956 nucleotides) under human gut metagenome. RNAcentral's name for it is "bacterial LSU rRNA". It matches the Rfam family "Bacterial large subunit ribosomal RNA", at positions 872 to 2814 of the family's 2925-position model. The record is from RNAcentral.